UACAGAGGUGGCAAGCGUUGUUCGGAAUUACUGGGCGUAAAGGGCGCGUAGGCGGUCUUGUAAGUCUUGUGUGAAAUCCCUCGGCUUAACUGAGGAACUGCACGGGAUACUGCAUGACUUGAGAUCGGGAGAGGGAAGCGGAAUUCCGGGUGUAGCGGUGAAAUGCGUAGAUAUCCGGAGGAACACCGGUGGCGAAGGCGGCUUCCUGGACCGACACUGACGCUGAGGCGCGAAAGCUAGGGGAGCAAACAGG
This 253-nucleotide ribosomal RNA is filed under the name uncultured bacterium. Its description in RNAcentral is "partial 16S ribosomal RNA". It matches the Rfam family "Bacterial small subunit ribosomal RNA", at positions 524 to 776 of the family's 1533-position model. The record is from RNAcentral.